CUUGACAACAAAACCUGAUACUUAUCAGCUUUCUCAUGAUGCCUCAUUGGGUAAACGCCUGGAUGUGGGUGAUUCUAGCCAGAUCCAUCCCUAUCAGAUACCUUCUGAUGUUGGUCUGGAAAAUUAUGAUGGUCAUUAUUCUCAAACUCGACCCCUGCAUGGAAGUCUUGGUAAAAGGCCUCAGAGAAACAGGAACUACCGAGAAUAUAGCACAAAGCUUCCAAAUGACAUAAAGGCCACCGUAUCCCAUUCCUGUGGAGAUUUACUGACUUCUCUGUCAAACCCUGACUCCAGCACCGAAAGACUUUUGAAGCUUAGUUCAGGUAAUAGCUUCCUGUCAGUUUACAGAUCUUUUUCAUAGGCAUGAAGGUAGAAAGUAUAACUGGAAAUUUUGGAAUUAAUGUUUCUUAAAUUGCAUUAGCAUUUCUUUCUUUUCUUUUCCUUUUUGACACCGGGGAUUGAACUCAGGGGCACCUAACUACUGAGCCACAUCCCCAGCCCUUUUUUUGUAUUUUAUUUAGAAACAGGGUCUCACUGAGUUACUUAGGAUCUCACUAAAUUACUGAGGCUGGCUUUGAACUUGCAAUCCUCCUGCGUCAGCCUCUGAAGCUGCUGGGAUUACAGGUGUGAGCCACAACACCUGGCACAUUAACAUUUCUUAAAUUGUAUUUCAGGGCCUCCAGUGGUCUAUGGAACUUCCAGAAAUCUACAGGGUAGAGUUUAACAUAACAGAUAUGUUAGAGAAAAUUUGUAGGAAUGUAAGCUUCACAGCUACAUAUUAUUUUAGUUAAGUAGCAUUCCAGGAUGUAUUUGUAGCUGCAUAUAAUAUUCUCUGACCACAAUCACUAAUAUUAUGAGUUACCUUCAGAAGAAACUAGUUUCAGAGUAAUUGAUGGAGACUAUUCUUUAAUUAUAUGUCAAUUUAUUCAACUGUAUACGUAUUAUAUGCCAGACACUAUAAGCAAAAUCAAAUUCCAUAAUUUUUUUAAAAGUCCCUACUUUCAUGUAAGCUCUAUAAUAAAAGCAGACAAUAAAUCAUAAACUUAUAAACAUGUGUCAAUUUAUGAUAAGUGCUGUGAUGAAAAAUACAAGGAUGAGAGCCAGGCACUGUGGUGCACUCCUGUAAUCCCAGUGGCUUGGGAGGCUGAGACAGGAAGAUCACAAGUUCAAAGCCAACCUCAGCAAAAAGCAAGGCACUAAGCAACUCAGUGAGACCCUGUCUCUAAAUAAAAUACAAAAUAGGACCGGGGAUGUGGCUCAGUGGUAGAGUGCCCCUGAGUUCAAUCCCCAGGACCUCCCUAAAAUAAAUAAGUAAAUAAAGACUUGAAUUACGAAGUAAGAGUGUAAGCCAUAUAGAUAAGUGAGAGGAGAACUUUCUAGUGAGACUACUACGUGCAAAGUUCCCAAGUCUGGAACAUGCUUGGCAUGUUCAAGAAACAACAAGGAGCCCAUGUGGCUAUAGUAGAGUUAAGUGAAGUGUAUGGAUGAAGUCAGAGAGAUGGCCAAACUUUUAUUCUGAGUAAGGUUAGAAGUAGUUGAAGGGCUAGGCGCAGUGGCACAUGCUUGUAAUCCCAGCAUCUUGGGAAGCUGAGGCAGGAGGAUCACAAGUUCAAAUCCAGCUGCAGCAACUUGAAGAGGCCCUAAGCAACUUAGCAAGAUCCUGUCUCAAAAUAAAACAUAAAAUAGGGUUGGGGACGAUGGGGUUGUGGCUCAGUGGUAGAGUGCUUGGCUAGCAUAUGUGAGGCACUGGGUUCAAAUCUCAGCACCAUGUAUAAAUAAAUAAAUAAAGGUCAAUCAAUAACUAAUUUAAAAAAAAAGGUUGGGGAAAACAUAAAAAGUGGUUCAGUGAUUAAGUAGUUUAAUACCCAAUAGCAAAUAAAAGAAGAAGAAGAAGUUGUUGAAUGGUUUGUAGCAAGGAAAUUAUGUGAUCUAACUGAAUAAUUACUCUAGCUGGAAAAUAAAAAUAAAAGAAUUACUCUGGGGUUGGGAUUGUGGCUCAGUGGGAGAGUGCUCGCCUAGCAUGCACUGGGUUUGAUCCUCAGAACCACAUAAAUGUAAAAUAAAGAUAUUGUGUCCACUUAAACCUAAAAAAUGAAUGUUAAAAAAAAAAAAGAAUUACUCUGUCUGGGCAGGUGGAAGACACCUACAAUCCCAGCUACUCCAAAGGUUAGGCAAAUUUGAGGGCAGGUUAGGCCACAUAGCAAGACCCUGUCCCAAAAUAAAAAUUUUUAAAGGGCUGGAGAUGUAACUCGGUGGCAUAGCAUUUGCCUAGCAUGUGUGAGACCCUGAGUUAAAUUUCUAGUACCAAAAAAAGAAAAGAAUGACUCUGGAGGCUGUAUAGAGAAUAGACUGUGGGAGGGGGGCAAGGAUGAAAAUUCUUUUAACCAUUUAAAAGGUUAUGGUCCAGAUAAGAGUUGGUGGUGGCCUUGGAUAGAUAGAGUGGUUAAGGUGGUGAGAAGUAACAGGAUGUUUUGGAAGAAUGGAGUUAUCAUUUACUAAGAUGGAAAAGAGUGGGAAAAGCAGGUUUUCAGAUAAAUAUCAAGAGUUUGGUUUUAGAUGUCUUAAGUUUGAGAUGUCUACCAAAAGAUCCCAGAGAUGCCAACUUGACAAUUGGACUUAUUAGUCUGGAAUUCAGGGGAAAAGAUAUGGCUAUAAAUAUGAAUUAGAAGGGCUGGGGAUGUGGCUCAAGUGGUGACACGCUCGCCUAGCAUGCGUGAGGCACUGGGUUCGUUUCUCAGCACCACAUAGAAACAAAAAAAAUGAUAUUGUGUUCGCCUAAAAAACUAAAAAAUUAAAUAUUUUUAAAAAAUAUGAAUUAGGGAAUUAUAAGUGUUUUGGUGGCAUUAAAACUGUGAAACUAGAUGAGAAACUAGAUGCAAGAGAGAAGGGGGACAAUUACAAGUAGAAAAUGCUUGGGUAGUCAAGAAGAAAUAGGAUCUAGUUUACCAAUAGAAAGGUUGGCUUUAAAUGAAGCACAGACAGUUCAUCUAUUGUAAUAAGAAGGAGGCAGAGAAUUUAUGGACACAAAUACAAAUAAGAGUUGGUAGAUUUAGUGGUGGGAUCACAUGGACAUUUUCUUUGAUUAUCUCUAUUUUUUCUGUGUAGAUCAUCACCUGAGAGAAAGGAGAGAGGAUGAUGGAAGUUUGAGGAAGACAAGAAAUGUGAAAUGAUCCUCUCAGAGUAUAGAAAAGUAAAUUUGCCAGGGUAAUAUAUAUGAGAGCCGGACAGAACUAAGAGCCUAUACAAGAUAGUGAUCAGGAAUAAAGUAUGGAAGCUCAGAUGCAUUUUAUUCUCCAACCACAUUCCACUGCUGUGGUGUAGGCUUUUGGAGCAUGUGGGUUAUUGGAUUUAAUCAGAGUUAAGAUUUUACCAGGUGAAGGGAGAUAGAAAGGGUCCAGAGUGUUGAGGGUAUUUGCUAGGGAGUGAUUAUUAUGAUCUUUGGACAUAAGAGAGUUGAAGGGCAGGUUCAUCUUCCAGCCUGUUUCCUCCACAGAGCUAUAUGCCACCACCCAUUUCAACAGUGACCCUGCUUUGCUGGUCAAUGUAGAGCAACAGUUAUCCAGCAACCUCAGUGAUUUAACACCAGCACAUGGCUCUUUCCCAAACAACUCGGCCCUGGGAAACUCUCUGCGAAUGUUGCUGUUACCUCCUGGGACUUCAGAAGACCGAGAGAUUCUGACCAAGAGGUCAUUAAGCCCAUCCAAGAGAGGAUUCAAACGGAAGGACAAUAUCCUUGUCAACCUGAGUGCAAAGCAUGGUUUCCGUGAUGCUACAGGCAGUGAGGCAAGUGUUGGCUUGUUUGUGUGUGUGCAAGAAACACAUCCAGUUCAAGACUAGAAUGGGGUUCUGGUGGGGAUGGUGUUGGUUCUGGCCAAUAGUGCUAGAAGUUCAAAAGAAUUUUCAGAAACUAGGCUAACGCUCUCAGGCUAAAGCCUGUGAUUCUUCUAUCCUUGGGAAAGUCAUUUUCCCACUGCCACCAUUUUCUCCUUUCUAUCACAGGGGAACUAUCCCUGAUCUACUUCCAGAGCAAAAAAAUAUGGUAGGAAAAUACUUUAAGAAGUGGUCAACAAGAGUUUACUAACAGGAAGGAAUUCAAACAGUUCAGGGCCUCUGGGUUAGCUGAAGAUCUUUAUAGCAUUAAUUUUUAUAAUCUCAUCAUGCUUACUCAUUUUUUUUCAGCCACAAAUGACUUACUUGAAAUAGUUUUUAUAAAAAGCUUUGUUUUCACUUUCUACCUACAAAUUCAUAUAAUUCUAAAUUUUUGCCAAAGUAGCAGCAAGAAGAUAAAUUAGGGCUGGGGUUGUGGCUCAGAGGUAGAACACUCGGCUAGCAUGCAUGAGGCACUGGGUUUGAUCCUCAGCGCCACAUAAAGUAAAAUAAAGACAUUGUGUCCACCUAUAACUAAAAAAUAAAAUUAAAAAAGAAGAUAAAUUAGAUUAUCCAAGGGAUUUUUAGCUAAAAAUGGGCUCAGAAAAUGAAUGAAAAAUCAAGAACAUUCCCACAUAUGCAAUAUAGUUCAUCUUUACAAAAUCAAAAUGUAAUAGUAUAUAUAAUAAAACUUCAACACUUACUAAGAAGUUUGGCCCUGCAAGCUCAUCCCACAUUCAUUCCUCACAGAAAAUGCCCUCCACUCCCCUCUCUUCUCUGUUUGAAUGCUAACUUUUCUCCAGAUCUUAACUGAUAAUCAUGAAGACUUCUCUCUUUCGUUAUAGGAACCACAAUCCUUAGGAUCC
Molecule: long non-coding RNA, 4733 nt
Filed under: Marmota monax (woodchuck)
Lineage: Eukaryota; Metazoa; Chordata; Mammalia; Rodentia; Sciuridae
Source: RNAcentral